RNAcentral lists this ribosomal RNA (268 nucleotides) under uncultured Caulobacterales bacterium. RNAcentral's name for it is "partial 16S ribosomal RNA". It matches the Rfam family "Bacterial small subunit ribosomal RNA", at positions 535 to 802 of the family's 1533-position model. Lineage: Bacteria; Pseudomonadati; Pseudomonadota; Alphaproteobacteria; Caulobacterales. The record is from RNAcentral.
CUAGCGUUGCUCGGAAUUACUGGGCGUAAAGGGAGCGUAGGCGGACAUUUAAGUCAGAGGUGAAAUCCCGGAGCUUAACUUCGGAACUGCCUUUGAUACUGGGUGUCUUGAGUGUGAGAGAGGUAUGUGGAACUCCGAGUGUAGAGGUGAAAUUCGUAGAUAUUCGGAAGAACACCAGUGGCGAAGGCGACAUACUGGCUCAUUACUGACGCUGAGGCUCGAAAGCGUGGGGAGCAAACAGGAUUAGAUACCCUGGUAGUCAAGGUCG